GUGGUUACACUUUUUCCUGUAAUAUUAAACAUUUUUAAUACAAAAGACUCUCUAAUACUGGAGUAACCGCUACAGUGUAGCAACAUGUGCUGUUCAUUUUCAAUUUCGCCACUUUUACAGAUUUCACAAAUUCUUUGAUCUCUGGGCAUUUUUAAAUAUCUUCCUCUUUCAAUGGCAAGGUUAUGAGCACUAACUCUUAAUUUACAUAAUGAUGAUCGAUCUGAUCUAUUUUUUAAAGCAUCAACAUAACCUGCCCGUUCAUUAGUUUUGUAGACACUCUGGAAAAAUAUUAAUUUAGGAGAUGCUGAAAUAUUUGCAUGUUGUUCCUGAAAACCC
RNAcentral lists this long non-coding RNA (336 nucleotides) under Mytilus galloprovincialis (Mediterranean mussel). The record is from RNAcentral. Lineage: Eukaryota; Metazoa; Mollusca; Bivalvia; Mytilida; Mytilidae.